Molecule: ribosomal RNA, 253 nt
Filed under: uncultured bacterium
Lineage: Bacteria
Description: partial 16S ribosomal RNA
Rfam family: Bacterial small subunit ribosomal RNA
Source: RNAcentral
UACGUAGGCAGCGAGCGUUGUUCGGAGUUACUGGGCGUAAAGAUUGCGUAGGCGGUUUUCUAAGUUUGGUGUGAAAUCUCCCGGCUCAACUGGGAGGGUGCGCCGAAGACUGGAAGGCUUGAGUAUGGGAGAGGUAAGCGGAAUUCCUGGUGUAGCGGUGAAAUGCGUAGAUAUCAGGAGGAACACCUGCGGUGUAGACGGCUUACUGGACCAUAACUGACGCUGAGGCACGAAAGCGUGGGUAGCAAACAGG